AAUGCAUUUGAGGAAAGUCCGGGCUCUAGAAAGGUAAAAAUUGCUGGGUAAUACCCAGUGCGUAUGUUGUAGUUACUUUGUAAUUAAAAUACAAAGGUUAGAUCGUAAAUAUUUGAUCGAUUACUACAUUUUACGUGAGGAAAGUGCCACAGAAAGAUACCGCCAAAAUAAAGGUAAGGGUGCAAAAGUUUGGUAACAACAAAUAUCUAAAAUUGAAAAAUUUUAGUAUAGUAAACCCCAUUUUAGAGCAAGG
RNAcentral lists this non-coding RNA (253 nucleotides) under Cyanoptyche gloeocystis. The record is from RNAcentral. Lineage: Eukaryota; Glaucocystophyceae.